CAAUAGCGUAUAUUUAAGUUGUUGCAGUUAAAGAGCUCGUAGUUGGAUUUCGGGUUGGCUUCAGCGGUCUCGCUUUGCGUUUGUACUGCUGCAGCCUACCUUCUUGUCGGGGACGGGCCUUCGGGCUUAAUUGCUUGGGGCCCGGAGUCGACGAUGUUACUUUGAGUAAAUUAGAGUGUUCAAAGCAAGCCUACGCUCUGAAUAUAAUAGCAUGGGAUAACACGACAGGACUCUGGCCUAUCGUGUUGGUCUGUAGGACCAGAGUAAUGAUUAAGAGGGACAGUCGGGGGCAUUCGUAUUCCGUUGUCAGAGGUGAAAUUCUUGGAUUUACGGAAGACGAACAUCUGCGAAAGCAUUUGCCAAGGAUGUUUUCAUUGA
Molecule: ribosomal RNA, 378 nt
Filed under: uncultured eukaryote
Lineage: Eukaryota
Description: partial 18S ribosomal RNA
Rfam family: Eukaryotic small subunit ribosomal RNA
Source: RNAcentral